Molecule: long non-coding RNA, 5460 nt
Filed under: Volvox carteri
Lineage: Eukaryota; Viridiplantae; Chlorophyta; Chlorophyceae; Chlamydomonadales; Volvocaceae
Description: long non-coding RNA (VCAR_LNC001180)
Source: RNAcentral
CGGGGAGUUCGUUAAUACUCGCACGAAGGGCUAUUUCUCGUCCAGGGGUAUUGUACACGGAACUACGGUAGGCUAUACCCCUGAGCAGAACGGAGCUGCGGAACGUUUAAAUCGCACUUUUUUGGACUAGGGCUAUGCUCGUUGAGUCUGGACUGCCUAAAUCAUUAUGGGCGGAGGCGUUAGCGACAGCCAACUAUCUUAGGAAUGUGUCGCCAACUGCUGGGUCAACCGUCACUCCGUACGAAGCUUUCUUUAACGUUCGUCCGAACAUCAGUCACCUGCGAGUCUUUGGAUGCGUUGCCUACGUCCACGUACCCGACGUCAAGCGCGACAAGUUCGACCCGGUGAGCAGGCGUGGAAUACUUGUCGGAUACGGGAACGGUGGACAGUAUCGUGUACUAUACGAGGACGGCAUUAUUGCCGUAGUUUCUAACGUUCGUUUUGACGAGUCUAACGUCGGCCGGCGGCGUAAUGCCGGGGAUUCUGAUUAUGAGUCCGAUGCCGAUGAGGAGGAGGAGUUUCACACUAGUUUAUCUGGUGAGGGAUCGCUGCCUAGGGCUGGCGAAGGGACACCAGGUAGCACCGUCGGCGAGGGAUCGCCGCAUUUGGGUGGCGAGGGGGCGCCGGCUGGGGCUGGACCUUCCAGCAGUGCGAACGUGCAAGGAAUCAAUCAGCCUGAUGUGGAAAUGGCGGGAACUAGGUACCCAGUUAGAGAGCGUAAACGCCCUGGCGAAUGGUGGCGAAACGAACCUGGUCGCACUGUCACUGGUCGCGUUAACGCUGCUUUCUCUGCUGGUAUUCCUGAGCCUAAUUCAUUUGCGGAAGCCAUUGCAAGUCCACAUGCAGACGACUGGCGGCGUGCGAUGGACGAGGAGAUCGCCGCCCAGAUGGCUAACAGUACUUGGGAGCUGAAGAAGCCACCUCCUGGUACUCGUUUGUUGCCGUGUCGUUGGGUAUAUAAGGUUAAGUACAGCGAUGACGGCAGCGUGGAGCGUUUUAAGGCGCGUUUAGUUGCCAAGGGUUUCGAGCAACGCGAGGGGAUUGAUUAUGGGGAGUUGAUGUUGUUACAGGGUGGUUAAGCUUCACCAGUGGCCUCCUUCCCGAGGCAAUUCCCUGCUCUCCCCUGCUAGAGGGGCACCCUAAGCCAUUCACCCCAUCCGACUUCAGAGUGUACUCUUUGAGUUUGGCAACUCACCACCAGCAUCCAACCAAAUCUAGCGGAUCAACGGCGCCUCAACUUAGUUCCUAGUCAGCUCGCAAGUUGAUUUUAUCACGUCCUACACCGUCCACAAGAUGGGGGGCCACCUCCCAUUUCACCACCUCUCAAACACCCGAGAGGUCGGCAGGCGGAUUUGAACCCGGGUCGACCGGGAGCAGAAGUCAGGCCUUAACCUCUGCCAGCCGCCUGCCUAGAGUUGUUUGCCCCCACCUCUCGUGGUUCGUCAUUACGUGCUUUAUUAGCAGUUGCCACAGCGCGGAACAUGACGGUGCAUCAGCUAGAUGUGUCUACUGCGUUCCUGAAUGGUGAGCUGAAGGAGGAGUUAUGGAUGGAGCAACCGCCUGGGUAUGUGUGUAAUGUUACAGAGUGGGAGGCUUCUGGGCCGCUUUUAUCACAUUGUCAGUUCUACGAUUUAUCAUCUUAUAGCACCAUCCACCACUACCACACUAUACUUCGCCAUACGAACUGUAAGUCCAAGGCGGCGGGUCCAGCCGUCUAGGACCCCUCCUCAUCCAUUCACCCGAACAACGGAAGAGACGGAGGGUUCGGCAAUCGCCACCAAUCCAGCGUGCGAAUCUGGUCCAUCAACUGCGACCUCAACUCCACAUCUCAGCAGCUAGCCAUAAUCUCGCGCUCCCGACUAAUUCGGGGGUCUCCCCAGGAAUCGAACCCAGGCCUGGGUAUGCAUCCAGUGACCGGUCGCUUGCGUGCAAGCUGCAGAAGUCUAUUUACGGUUUGAAGCAGGCACCCCGUUGCUGGUAUGAAAAGCUAUCAGCAGAGUUCGCCAAGUUGGGUCUUUAUCCUUCGAAGUCUGAUCCGGCGAUGUUUGUUAAGACUGACGAGCGAGGGGUUGUUAUUGCUUUGGUGCACGUAGAUGAUACCAUUGUUGCGUCGGAAGACCCGGAAAUGGUCCGGGCAAUUAAAACAGCAAUUGCGAAGGUCUUCAAGGUGCGCGACCUUGGAGAAGCAAAGGUGUUUUUGGGCAUGGAAAUUAGGAGGGAGAAGUCGGGUGAGAUAGUGUUGUCGAAGCAUAGGUAUAUUGCGCAGCUGUUGGAGCGUCAUAGGAUGAUUGACGCCAAGCCGAGGUCUACCCCUUUGCCUCCGGGCUUUAGGUACACUCCUAAGGGGGACGGAGAGGAGCUGCUGGGCAAUCCCACCGAGUAUAGGGCUUUGGUGGGAGAAUUGAACUAUCUGGCGACGAACACGCGGCCUGACAUUUCAUAUGCAUUGAGCGUUUUGUCCCGGCAUAUGGCCGCACCUACGAAGACUGCCAUGAACUUAGCAAUCGGCGUUCUGCGUUACCUGGCGGGGACUCGCGAACUAGGAUUGCGUUUUGGGGGUGUUGGCGACGUUGCUAUGUCCGGGUACAGUGAUUCGGACUGGGCAGGAGACCCAGUUACGCGGCGCUCUACGUCCGGCUACGUUUUCACUCUUAAUGGGGCUGCGAUUAGCUGGAGCAGCCAACUUCAACGUACUGUGGCGGCUUCGUCGGUGGAGGCUGACUACCAAGCUACAGCGGCGGCUGUUCACGAGGCUUUGUGGCUUCGCAAGCUGAUGGUUGAUUUGGGUUUGCCUGAGAGCGCUAUCAGAAUCCAAAUAGAUUCCCAGGGGGCGCUUAGCUUGGGAAAUAACCCGAUUACGUCUGCUCGGUCGAAGCACAUCGACGUGCAGCAUCACAUAGUGCGUGAGAGGGUGAAUAGUGGUGAGGUGCAGUUGGAAUACUGCCCUACGGAGUGGAUGGUUGCGGAUGUGCUAACGAAGGCUCUGGGCGAGGUGAAGUUCAAACGUUGCCGAGAUGCGAUGGGCCUUGUGUGAAGUGUGCAGAUGAACUUGGUACUCGUUGGGAUACGGCCCGAGGGGACGUGUUGAGGAAACGGUCCUCUCCCAACUCGUGUGGUUGUCGACCAGGGGAUUUGACCCCGGGUCUGCGCCUGACUAAUGGGGAAGGCUUACCCCAGAACCUUAUGGGCUACCGAUGCAUAUCCGGUAGCUAAGUGAUAGACAUUAGGGCACCGUCAGGACGGCGCAGUGAGAUCGCGGAAUGUACGUGCAGUUAGAUCGUGGAAUGUACGAGUUUUCCGCUAGCGCCGGUAUUUAGGGCGGUGACUGCGCUUAUUUGUUUAUCUCACUACGAUCGGUAUUCCUCAUAGGAAUCUCCUCAAGUCCUGCCGAACGCUAAUAAUACUCUAUACAUUACUUGUAACAGUUUAUCGUGCUAAAUAUCUUCGCCAGCGGCAAUCCUUCCGGAAUAACAAUCAGCGUUAGCCGUCACCGUCGCCAAUUCUUCAAUACUAUCUAGUACUAUUUUUACUAUACUAUUUUACUAUGUACGAACGCGGUACGAGCGUCGUAAACUAGUACCAGUUAAGAGCCCUGCAUAGUAAAUAGUACUAUGCAUAGUACUUUUAUAGUAUAGUACUCUUUGUUGAGGAAACGGUCCUCUCCCAACUCGUGUGGUUGUCGACCAGGGGAUUUGACCCCGGGUCUGCACCUGACUAAUGGGAAUGUACGUGCAGUUAGAUCGCGGAAUGUACGAGUUUUCCGCUAGCGCCGGUAUUUAGGGCGGUGACUGCGCCUAUUAGUUUAUCUCACAACGAUCGGUAUUCCUACCAGGAAUCUCCUCAAGUCCUGCCGAACGCUAACAAUACUCUUUACAUUACUUGUAACAGUUUAUCGUGCUAAAUAUCUUCGCCACCGGCAAUCCUUCCGGAAUAACAAUUAGCGUUAGCUGUCACCGUCGCCAAUUCUUCAAUACUCUUUUCUAGUAUAGUACCCGUGCCAACCCAACAUGGGAGCGCUUCAACAUCAUGGGCAUCAAGGGACAGUCUCUUCGGCCGACUAAAGUUGGCACGGUUAUGAUUCGGUCUAACGUCAACGAUAAACAGGCCAUCACUUUUAAGAAGGUCUACGUCGACGAGGAGGCCACCGCCAAAAUCCUAUCGGUCCGCAUCAUUGAUGAUCGUGGAGGCAGUGUGGUCUUCGGUGGCGGACAGGUGAAAGUAUACGUACAGAACCACUUGGUGCUGACUGGAAAGCGGGAUGGGGACUUGUAUCCCGUCUGCUACAGCAGUGGAGGUACGGGAGCUCUGAAGUGUGAAGACAACAGGAUACCUUCUGGUGGUGAUGCAGUGUGUGCUGCCGUGGGUAUCGGAGCUGAACGUGCAGCACUUUGGCACCGAAGGUAUGGCCACUUAGGAUACAGCAACCUUGAGGCGCUGCUGCGUCAUGAUAUGGUAACUGGGUUCGAUGUUGACCGACACAGCAUACAAUCAGCCAGCGCGUGUGUGUGUGAGACUUGCGUCUUUGCAAAGCAUACACGUGGUCCUUUUCCGUUAUCUGGGCAUAAGGCAGCGCAGCCUCUCGCGCUCAUUCACAUGGAUGUGUGUGGACCUAUGCCUGAACCUUCACCUAGUGGUUCGCGUUAUGUGACAACUCUGCUUGACGACCAUACUGGUCUUUCAGCUGUUGCGUUUACAGCGACCAAGGAGGAGGUCUACCAGAAGAUGGUGGUAAUGAUAGCUGGGAACUGGAGCGCGCUACUGGCAGGCAGGUUAAGGAGGUGCGUACAGAUCGUGGCGGGGAGUUCGUUAAUACUCGCACGAAGGGCUAUUUCUCGUCCAGGGGUAUUGUACACGGAACUGCGGUAGGCUAUACCCCUGAGCAGAACGGAGCUCAGGGUCUGGUCUGGGUUGACACUACUGCAAUUAGCGGUUUAAGGUCCUGGGUUCGAUUCCUGGGGAGACCCCCGAAUUAGUCGGGAGCGCGAGAUUAUGGCUAGCUGCUGAGAUGUGGAGUUGAGGUCACAGUUGAUGGACCAGAUUCGCACGCUGGAUUGGUGGCGAUUGCCGAACCCUCCGUCUCUUCGGGUGUUCGGGUGAAUGGAUGAGGAGGGGUCCCUGAAGGCUGGAUCCGCCGCCUUGGACUUACAGUUCGUAUGGCGAAGUACAGUGUGGUAGUGGUGGAUGGUGCUAUAAGGUGAUAAAUGAUCUAGAACUGACAAUGUGAUAAAGCGGCCCAGAAGCCUCCCACUCUGUAACAUUACACAGAACGGAGCUGCGGAACGUUUAAAUCGCACUUUUUUGGACUAGGGCUAUGCUCGUUGAGUCUGGACUGCCUAAAUCAUUAUGGGCGGAGGCGUUAGCGACAGCCAACUAUCUUAGGAAUGUGUCGCCAACUGCUGGGUCAACCCUCACUCCGUACGAAGCUUUCUUUAACGUUCGUCCGAACAUCAGUCACCUGCG